This 403-nucleotide ribosomal RNA is filed under the name uncultured bacterium. RNAcentral's name for it is "bacterial SSU rRNA". It matches the Rfam family "Bacterial small subunit ribosomal RNA", at positions 29 to 424 of the family's 1533-position model. The record is from RNAcentral.
AAUGAACGCUGGCGGCGCGCCUAAUACAUGCAAGUCGAGCGAGAAGACGUAGCAAUACGUUUGUAAAGCGGCGAACGGGUGAGGAAUACAUGGGUAACCUACCCUCGAGUGGGGAAUAACUAGCCGAAAGGUUAGCUAAUACCGCGUACGCUCCUUGGACUUCGGUUCAGGGAGGAAAGCGAUACCGUGGGUAUCGCGCUCUUGGUUGGGCUCAUGUCCUAUCAGCUUGUUGGUGAGGAACGGCUCACCAAGGCUUCGACGGGUAGCUGGUCUGAGAGGACGAUCAGCCACACUGGCACUGCGACACGGGCCAGGCUCCUACGGGAGCAGCAGUAAGGAAUAUUGCGCAAUGGGCGAAAGCCUGACGCAGCGACGCCGCGUGGGGGAUGAAGGUCUUCGGAUU